GAUGAACGCUAGCGGCAGGCCUAAUACAUGCAAGUCAAGGGGCCAGUAAUGGCACCGGCGGACGGGUGCGUAACGCGUACACAACGUACCUUUGGGUGGGGGAUAGCAUCGGGAAACUGGUGGUAAUACCCCAUGGUAUUGGAGACUGGCAUCAGUUUUCAAUUAAAGACUACGCCCAAAGAUCGGUGUGCGUCUGAUUAGCUAGUUGGUAGGUAACGGCCUACCAAGGCGACGAUCAGUAGGGGAUGUGAGAGCAUGAUCCCCCACACGGGUACUGAGACACGGACCCGACUCCUACGGGAGGCAGCAGUAAGGAAUAUUGGACAAUGGUCGGAAGACUGAUCCAGCCAUGCCGCGUGAAGGAUGAAGGCGCUCAGCGUUGUAAACUUCUUUUAUAUAGGAAGAAAAAAGGUCUUUCUAGAUCGUCUGACGGUACCUUAUGAAUAAGCACCGGCUAACUCCGUG
RNAcentral lists this ribosomal RNA (465 nucleotides) under uncultured bacterium. Its description in RNAcentral is "bacterial SSU rRNA". It matches the Rfam family "Bacterial small subunit ribosomal RNA", at positions 28 to 507 of the family's 1533-position model. The record is from RNAcentral.